This 469-nucleotide ribosomal RNA is filed under the name Blastocystis sp. subtype 5. RNAcentral's name for it is "SSU rRNA". It matches the Rfam family "Eukaryotic small subunit ribosomal RNA", at positions 460 to 942 of the family's 1831-position model. The record is from RNAcentral. Lineage: Eukaryota; Bigyra; Opalinata; Blastocystidae.
GGAGGUAGUGACAAUAAAUCACAAUGCGGAACUUUUAGUUUUGCAAUUGGAUUGAGAACAAUGUACAAAUGUUAUCGAUAAACAAUUGGAGGGCAAGUCUGGUGCCAGCAGCCGCGGUAAUUCCAGCUCCAAUAGCGUAUAUUAACGUUGUUGCAGUUAAAAAGCUCGUAGUUGAAAUGUGGGAUGAAGUAUAUAAUGAAUUUCUAAUUCAAUUAUAUAUUGAUUCCCCUCUCCAAUUUAUUAUUAUGGGUAUUAAUUUAUUUGUAAUAAGAAUUGGUCAUUUACUGUGAGAAAAUUAGAGUGUUCAAAGCAGGCAUUUGCUUGAAUAGAUUAGCAUGGAAUAAUACUAAAAGGCUUUUAUGGUCGAUUUAAUUGGUUUGUUCAUAAAAGCAAGAUUAAAAGGAACAGUUGGGGGUAUUCAUAUUCAAUAGUUAGAGGUGAAAUUCUCGGAUUUAUGGAAGAUGAACAA